Molecule: ribosomal RNA, 464 nt
Filed under: uncultured soil bacterium
Lineage: Bacteria
Description: bacterial SSU rRNA
Rfam family: Bacterial small subunit ribosomal RNA
Source: RNAcentral
AGAGUUUGAUCCUGGCUCAGAUUGAACGCUGGCGGCAUGCCUUACACAUGCAAGUCGAACGGCAGCGCGGGGCAACCUGGCGGCGAGUGGCGAACGGGUGAGUAAUAUAUCGGAACGUGCCCUGGAGUGGGGGAUAACGCAGCGAAAGUUGCGCUAAUACCGCAUACGAUCUAAGGAUGAAAGCAGGGGACCGCAAGGCCUUGUGCUCCUGGAGCGGCCGAUAUCUGAUUAGCUAGUUGGUGGGGUAAAGGCCUACCAAGGCAUCGAUCAGUAGCUGGUCUGAGAGGACGACCAGCCACACUGGAACUGAGACACGGUCCAGACUCCUACGGGAGGCAGCAGUGGGGAAUUUUGGACAAUGGGCGAAAGCCUGAUCCAGCAAUGCCGCGUGAGUGAAGAAGGCCUUCGGGUUGUAAAGCUCUUUUGUCAGGGAAGAAACGGUGUUGGCUAAUAUCCCGCACUAA